CCUAACACAUGCAAGUCGAGCGGUAACAGAUCUAGCUUGCUAGAUGCUGACGAGCGGCGGACGGGUGAGUAAUGCAUAGGAAUCUGCCCGGUAGUGGGGGAUAACCUGGGGAAACCCAGGCUAAUACCGCAUACGUCCUACGGGAGAAAGGGGGCUUCGGCUCCCGCUAUUGGAUGAGCCUAUGUCGGAUUAGCUAGUUGGUGAGGUAAUGGCUCACCAAGGCAACGAUCCGUAGCUGGUCUGAGAGGAUGAUCAGCCACAUCGGGACUGAGACACGGCCCGAACUCCUACGGGAGGCAGCAGUGGGGAAUAUUGGACAAUGGGCGCAAGCCUGAUCCAGCCAUGCCGCGUGUGUGAAGAAGGCCUUCGGGUUGUAAAGCACUUUCAGCGAGGAAGAACGCCUAGGGGUUAAUACCCACUAGGAAAGACAUCACUCGCAGAAGAAGCACCGGCUAACUCCGUGCCAGCAGCCGCGGUAAUACGGAGGGUGCGAGCGUUAAUCGGAAUUACUGGGCGUAAAGCGCGCGUAGGUGGCUUGAUAAGCCGGUUGUGAAAGCCCCGGGCUCAACCUGGGAACGGCAUCCGGAACUGUCAAGCUAGAGUGCAGGAGAGGAAGGUAGAAUUCCCGGUGUAGCGGUGAAAUGCGUAGAGAUCGGGAGGAAUACCAGUGG
This 671-nucleotide ribosomal RNA is filed under the name Halomonas sp. M6-25B. RNAcentral's name for it is "bacterial SSU rRNA". It matches the Rfam family "Bacterial small subunit ribosomal RNA", at positions 47 to 715 of the family's 1533-position model. Lineage: Bacteria; Pseudomonadati; Pseudomonadota; Gammaproteobacteria; Oceanospirillales; Halomonadaceae. The record is from RNAcentral.